CACGCCGUAAACGAUGGAUGCUAGCUGUUCGGAGUAUCGACCCUCUGAGUAGCGAAGCUAACGCGUUAAGCAUCCCGCCUGUGGAGUACGAGCGCAAGCUUAAAACAUAAAGGAAUUGACGGGGACCCGCACAAGCGGUGGAGUGUGUUGUUUAAUUCGAGGAUAAGCGAAGAACCUUACCAGGGUUUGACAUCCUGCGAAUUUCUCCGAAAGGAGAAAGUGCUUUAGUGAAUGCAGUGACAGGUGA
RNAcentral lists this ribosomal RNA (247 nucleotides) under uncultured Candidatus Saccharibacteria bacterium. RNAcentral's name for it is "partial 16S ribosomal RNA". It matches the Rfam family "Bacterial small subunit ribosomal RNA", at positions 796 to 1041 of the family's 1533-position model. The record is from RNAcentral. Lineage: Bacteria; Candidatus Saccharimonadota.